RNAcentral lists this ribosomal RNA (490 nucleotides) under uncultured bacterium. Its description in RNAcentral is "partial 16S ribosomal RNA". It matches the Rfam family "Bacterial small subunit ribosomal RNA", at positions 30 to 507 of the family's 1533-position model. The record is from RNAcentral.
AUUGAACGCUGGCGGCAGGCCUAACACAUGCAAGUCGAACGGUAACAGGAAGAAGCUUGCUUCUUUGCUGACGAGUGGCGGACGGGUGAGUAAUGUCUGGGAAACUGCCUGAUGGAGGGGGAUAACUACUGGAAACGGUAGCUAAUACCGCAUAACGUCGCAAGACCAAAGAGGGGGACCUUCGGGCCUCUUGCCAUCGGAUGUGCCCAGAUGGGAUUAGCUAGUAGGUGGGGUAACGGCUCACCUAGGCGACGAUCCCUAGCUGGUCUGAGAGGAUGACCAGCCACACUGGAACUGAGACACGGUCCAGACUCCUACGGGAAGCAGCAGUGGGGAAUAUUGCACAAUGGGCGCAAGCCUGAUGCAGCCAUGCCGCGUGUAUGAAGAAGGCCUUCGGGUUGUAAAGUACUUUCAGCGGGGAGGAAGGGAGUAAAGUUAAUACCUUUGCUCAUUGACGUUACCCGCAGAAGAAGCACCGGCUAACUCCGUG